UGACAUAGCACUAAGGUGUGAUCACAAAAU
RNAcentral lists this non-coding RNA (30 nucleotides) under Mus musculus (house mouse). Lineage: Eukaryota; Metazoa; Chordata; Mammalia; Rodentia; Muridae. The record is from RNAcentral.